RNAcentral lists this unclassified non-coding RNA (329 nucleotides) under soil metagenome. Its description in RNAcentral is "partial contains 5.8S ribosomal RNA, internal transcribed spacer 2, and large subunit ribosomal RNA". The stretch from base 1 to 120 matches the Rfam family "5.8S ribosomal RNA", at positions 35 to 154 of the family's 154-position model. The record is from RNAcentral.
GAUGAAGAACGUAGCGAAAUGCGAUAAGUAAUGUGAAUUGCAGAAUUCAGUGAAUCAUCGAAUCUUUGAACGCACAUUGCGCCCUCUGGUAUUCCGGGGGGCAUGCCUGUUCGAGCGUCAUCAUAACCACUCAAGCUCUCGCUUGGUAUUGGGGUUCGCGGUUUCGCGGCCCCUAAAAUCAGUGGCGGUGCCUGUCGGCUCUACGCGUAGUAAUACUUCUCGCGAUUGAGUUCGAUAGGUCUACUUGCCAGUAACCCCCAAUUUUUACAGGUUGACCUCGGAUCAGGUAGGGAUACCCGCUGAACUUAAGCAUAUCAAUAAGCGGAGGA